This 772-nucleotide long non-coding RNA is filed under the name Zonotrichia albicollis (white-throated sparrow). Its description in RNAcentral is "lncRNA (ENSZALG00000013929.1)". The record is from RNAcentral. Lineage: Eukaryota; Metazoa; Chordata; Aves; Passeriformes; Passerellidae.
AAGGAACAGGGGCUGCAGAGGGAAAAGAGCAGGGGAACAGUUUGCCUUGUAAUAUGGCACAGAGGAGUUAGAGAUGUAACUGUUUUGUACCAUAGGUGUUAGUUUCUGUGAAGUUUGGAAGCAUUCUGUAACAGUCUCUCUAUACAAAGCUGACAGUGCUGGGAACAAGCAGAACUAGUCCAGACCUGGAGGAGUUGUGUCACCAAUAUUUCAGGCCAGCUUGAUCUGUUUGGGGUACCUCUCCAACAAUUUGGCUUUGGUUCACAGCUGGCCCUGAUCUGACACACAUGCUGCCUUGCACCUGAGGCUCCUUCUUGGCUUACCAUGAUCCAGGGAGACUCUGGACACAGGAUCCACGCUGGCUCCUUAGUGGGAUGACCUUCCAACACUUAUGCCAAGAGAGCUCCCAUCCUCACACACCCUUGUGCCAGCUGCUGGGAUUGCAGUGUGACACUGCUGGAGCUACUCAGAGCUGCUGGAGAAGCUGCAGAGAAACAGAAAUUGUCUCAGAACUUACUCAGUGGGAAAAAGGAGAUGUUUUCACAUAGCAUGAUAUGUCUGCAAAGUUCAGGAAAUACUGUCUCACUUUUUGAUGCACACCAACACCCCUGUCCAGUGCAGAAGCCUCGUGGGAACUUGCUGUGGGCAAGAAAGGGAAAUUCAACAUAUGGCUGUGUUAGGAGAGUGUGGUCACAACUGAGCAGUGAGUGCUGGAAUGAGGAACCCUCAGCACUGGGAUUUGGUCUGAAGAGCAUCAUCACAUAUGUCUGUU